AUAUCCCGGGCUAGACGUGUUUGGAGGGGUGCGGGGCUAGUUUUUGAUUCUUUUGUCUGUUUCGGGUGGGUCUUGGGUGCGUGUAGGUGAGGAAAGAGCGUGUCGUGGCGGGCGGGGAGGGAUGGGUGCGCGACGGCGACGGCCGGCGAUCGGGGAGGGAUGGGUGCGCGACGGCGGUAGCCGGCGGGAGGGGAGGGAUGGCUGCGCGACGGCGGCGGCCGGCGGGAGGGGAGGGAUGGCUGCGCGACGGCGGCGGCCGGCGGGAGGGGGUAUGGGUGUGCGGCGUCGGUCGCGGCCGGCGGGUAGGGAUGGGUGCGAGGCAGCAAGAGGUAUCGGGUCGGUCGGAGGAGGGGGGCGGCAGUGCGUGGAGGACCGGCCUCGAGGGGUGACGUGCCGCGCGGCGGCGCGGGACGCGUGGUGGUGGGUAGGGAGUGGCAACAACGGGCGGUUCUAGGUUCCGUCCCCUAGACCGGUCAGAGAGGACGAGGGAAACAGUCGGGGGGUUCGAGCAACGAGCAGCCGGUGGUCGAGGUAGGUCCCUGGGGGUCUCAAGGAUGACGCUGCGGAGUUGGAGGACGAGAAGGUACCUAAUAACGGUAGGUGGUGCGGUAGUCCUUGUGCUAACCAGAAGGGGACACCGAGGACGGGAAGGAGGCUGCAGUAGGUGAAACUUCUGUGGCUGCGUGGGGUAGUCCACCACCUCGUUCGUACCCCCUUUUUUCCUGAGCGUAGGGCGGCAGCGCGUUCGGGAUGAAGGGCGACCACCGGUAGAGGUGCAUUCAAGCUAGACCCGUGACGGGACGAGUACGUUGGGUAACAGCGGCCGUCGGCGACGCCAGGGCACGGACCGUGAGAGACACGCGUGACGGGUCCGGUAAGUGACGGAGGUGUGUUCCGGCAAACUGCUGCGUUGAGAGUUCGUCUAGUGGGAAUGGUCGUGUUUCGGCAAGUGGAGGCGGUGUUUCCCUCAACGAUAAAGAAAAACGACUACGAGUACGUUUAGAGUACGAUGAAUACACGAUUUAAACUACGAGAUAUCAACGAUCAGCUUUACGGAUGCUCUUGGUUUGAUAAAACUAUUUUAAACUACAACAACAAGGAUAUAAGAUCUACUUAAAACUGGUAUGUUAAAACGAUGUCGCCCCCUACGAAUCAAGUCAAGUUUCUGUAAUAGUACACUAGUACCUACUCUCAGUCUCAGUAGUGCGUAGGUUAAAGAAAACAAGUCAAGUUUUCGAUUUUUAAUAAAGUCAAGUUAAGAACUACAGCAGAAGGACCAAUGAAGUUUGCAUAAGGAACGAAAUUAUCAAAAACGUGAAAGGAGGUAAAAGUACACUGUGAACAAUCUAACGAGAGUCAUAAACUACAUAAAGUACGUUGUGAAUAAACUAACGAGUUCUCUUCACAAUAAAUAAUCACUUAAAAGAAAAUCACAUCUACAAGUUAUACAUAAAUAUAGUUGUCGGGCAUUACUUGUCAUGUUAGAUACACAAUUUUGUAUUGUCUAGUCAAGUAACAGUCAUGUCCGAGACUUUGACGAGUCAUGUCCAACCCCUUGUAAAAACCUUAGUGUAUAUAUAUCGCCAACGAAGGUUUACUUAAACAGCAACGAUCAUGUAAAAACCAUCGUCUACGAAGGUUCACUUAACGGCAAUGAUGAUAGAUGCUACAACGACGGUACAAAACAAAAAGAAACUUAAAUGAUACAUUGGUGAUGAGUACCAUUGUAGUUUGUUGUUUAAAAUAUACGGACCGUACAAACUAGACUAAACUGAGGUACUGGCAUCACGUUUUGUUUUUUGAUGUCAUAGGAACGAUCGAACGUCGACAUUAAAACUAACGUGUCGUCAAAUUAACGUAGCGGUAGAGGACCACCCCGAAACGACGGCCUCGUGGGACCGGCAAGUGUCGGUGGUGAGGUCCGGUAAGUUGCGGUGGUGGGGACCGGCAAGUAACGGUCGUCGUGGGACCUAGGGUGGGGAGUGGGAUCAACAAAGUCAAUAGCUCACUCAAAGUCAGGUUGAACUCGAGGAACUCUACUAGUAUAUUAAUUGAAGUUUUAAUAAUGUACCAGGUACAUAAAAUGUCUUUCAGGUACAUCAUGAUGUACCCUUCAUGUUUUUAAUGAAGAUCACUCUCAAGUAAAUUUAGAUGUCCCAGGUCAGGGUAUAUAGAAAAUUGGUCCAAGUACCACUUCGGGUCCCACGAGCAGCCGCAAGUGUUCUUCGUCCGGUAGCUCUUCCUCGACCCGCUGUACCACGUCGCCACACCGGUCAAGUUGGUGGAUCGAUUAUCUAGUACUAAAAGAGAGAAAACGGAUACAGAGAAUCACACAAUGGGGAAGGAGAAAAGUAUAUCGCAUAAGACUUGUAGUCUACGAAAUUUUUUACACAGCGCGUUCAAGUUCAUAUCGACGGCGUCCUCAAGUUUUUAGACUUGUCAAAUUCGAGUUGGGUUAAAGUUCUUGACAAAGGAAAUAUUUAACAAACUUCAAACACUAAAACCGAGUACCGUCCUCGAGCAACUGCUACUUCCUACACUUCGAAGUGGUGGUAAGUGUUGAGGUCAUACCAGGUCAAGCAGUACUCCUAAACCUCGAAGUUGAAAAGGUCAAGUAGAAAGUAUACGAAAAAUCAUGUAGAUGAAGGAGUAAUACCUUCUUCCUUUAGUCAGGUUGUCCACGUAGAUUUCACUGUACAGCACGUGGUGGGUGAGCAGGAGUUCGACGAGCAGCACAGUACGGCCGAACGGUAGUUGGUGUCAACACCGAGUUGAGGGUGCCACGAAGGUGCUGGUGGUGUGCGUCGGAGGGAGAUAACAACGGGAGUGGUACGAGAGGACGCAUAACCGCCGGAGUUGCUCGACUGAUACCAACGGCGAGGACGCACGACGUCAUGCGGCAGCUCGACCAGUGGUAAAUAUAAAAACAAAAUUCAAGUAAACACAAGAACAACAGUCCAGCGGAUGUUUAAACAAUAGCAACAAUCAAGUACACACAAGAACAACAAUCCAGGACACGUUCAAACAAUAGUCAAGUACACAUAACACAAAGAAAACAGCGAAGUAAUCAUGUAUAGGUGGAUGUCGGGCAAGUUACUACAUUCGGUGUGUUCAAGCUUUUCUUUACCUAUUUUGUUACCACCACCACUUUUCUUAUGUUGGG
This 3163-nucleotide ribosomal RNA is filed under the name Triticum aestivum (bread wheat). Its description in RNAcentral is "partial small subunit ribosomal RNA". The record is from RNAcentral. Lineage: Eukaryota; Viridiplantae; Streptophyta; Magnoliopsida; Poales; Poaceae.